This 578-nucleotide ribosomal RNA is filed under the name uncultured beta proteobacterium. RNAcentral's name for it is "partial 16S ribosomal RNA". Lineage: Bacteria; Pseudomonadati; Pseudomonadota; Betaproteobacteria. The record is from RNAcentral.
CGGUGCUUCUUCUGCAGGUACCGUCAUUMGUCGCAGGUAUUAGCUGCMCCGUUUCUUCCCUGCUGAAAGAGCUUUACMACCCSAAGGCCUUCUUCACUCMCGCGGAAUGGCUGGAUCAGGGUUUCCCCCMUUGUCCMAAAUUCCCCACUGCUGCCUCCCGUAGGAGUCUGGGCCGUGUCUCAGUCCCAGUGUGGCUGAUCAUCCUCUCAGACCAGCUACUGAUCGUCGCCUUGGUGAGCCUUUACCUCACCAACUAGCUAAUCAGGCGUAGGCCACUCCAAUAACGCGAGGUUCUUGCGAAUCCCCCGCUUUCCCCCUUGGGGCGUAUGCGGUAUUAGCACAGCUUUCGCUGCGUUAUCCCCCAUUACUGGACAUGUUCCUACGUAUUACUCACCCGUUCGCCACUCGCCACCAGGGUUGCCCCCGUGCUGCCGUUCGACUUGCAUGUGUAAAGCAUUCCGCCAGCGUUCAAUCUGAGCCAUGAUCAAACUCUAAUCGAAUUCCCGCGGCCGCCAUGGCGGCCGGGAGCAUGCGACGUCGGGCCCAAUUCGCCCUAUAGUGAGUCGUAUACAUUYAYG